AGACAGGUGCUGCAUGGCUGUCGUCAGCUCGUGUCGUGAGAUGUUGGGUUAAGUCCCGCAGCGAGCGCAACCCCUACGUUUAGUUGCUAACGCGUGAAGGCGAGCACUCUAGACGAACUGCCGUUGACAAAACGGAGGAAGGUGGGAUGACGUCAAAUCAUCAUGCCCCUUAUGUUCUGGGCUACACACGUGCUACAAUGGCCGGUACAGACGGACGCAAAGCCGCGAGGUGGAGCAAAUCCUAAAAAGCCGGUCUCAGUUCGGAUUGCAGGCUGCAAUUCGCCUGCAUGAAGUCGGAAUCGCUAGUAAUCGCAGGUCAGCAUACUCGCGGUCGAAUACGUUCCGGGCCUU
Molecule: ribosomal RNA, 351 nt
Filed under: uncultured Pelotomaculum sp.
Lineage: Bacteria; Bacillati; Bacillota; Clostridia; Eubacteriales; Desulfotomaculaceae
Description: bacterial SSU rRNA
Rfam family: Bacterial small subunit ribosomal RNA
Source: RNAcentral